GAUGAACGCUGGCGGCGUGCCUAAUACAUGCAAGUCGAGCGAACGGACGAGAAGCUUGCUUCUCUGAUGUUAGCGGCGGACGGGUGAGUAACACGUGGAUAACCUACCUAUAAGACUGGGAUAACUUCGGGAAACCGUAGCUAAUACCGGAUAAUAUUUUGAACCGCAUGGUUCAAAAGUGAAAGACGGUCUUGCUGUCACUUAUAGAUGGAUCCGCGCUGCAUUAGCUAGUUGGUAAGGUAACGGCUUACCAAGGCAACGAUGCAUAGCCGACCUGAGAGGGUGAUCGGCCACACUGGAACUGAGACACGGUCCAGACUCCUACGGGAGGCAGCAGUAGGGAAUCUUCCGCAAUGGGCGAAAGCCUGACGGAGCAACGCCGCGUGAGUGAUGAAGGUCUUCGGAUCGUAAAGCUCUGUUAUUAGGGAAGAACAUCUGUGUAAGUAACUGUGCACAUCUUGACGGUACCUAAUCAGAAAGCCACGGCUAACUACGUG
RNAcentral lists this ribosomal RNA (497 nucleotides) under uncultured bacterium. RNAcentral's name for it is "partial 16S ribosomal RNA". It matches the Rfam family "Bacterial small subunit ribosomal RNA", at positions 28 to 507 of the family's 1533-position model. The record is from RNAcentral.